UCCUGGCUCAGGAUGAACGCUAGCUACAGGCUUAACACAUGCAAGUCGAGGGGCAGCGGGAUUGAAGCUUGCUUCAAUUGCCGGCGACCGGCGCACGGGUGAGUAACGCGUAUCCAACCUUCCGUACACUCAGGGAUAGCCUUUCGAAAGAAAAGAUUAAUACCUGAUGGUAUGAUGAGAUUGCAUGAUAGCAUCAUUAAAAGAUUUAUCGGUGUACGAUGGGGAUGCGUUCCAUUAGGUUGUUGGCGGGGUAACGGCCCACCAAGCCUUCGAUGGAUAGGGGUUCUGAGAGGAAGGUCCCCCACAUUGGAACUGAGACACGGUCCAAACUCCUACGGGAGGCAGCAGUGAGGAAUAUUGGUCAAUGGGCGAGAGCCUGAACCAGCCAAGUAGCGUGAAGGAUGACUGCCCUAUGGGUUGUAAACUUCUUUUAUAAAGGAAUAAAGUCGGGUAUGGAUACCCGUUUGCAUGUACUUUAUGAAUAAGGAUCGGCUAACUCCGUG
This 503-nucleotide ribosomal RNA is filed under the name uncultured bacterium. RNAcentral's name for it is "bacterial SSU rRNA". It matches the Rfam family "Bacterial small subunit ribosomal RNA", at positions 17 to 507 of the family's 1533-position model. The record is from RNAcentral.